GCAGAGGGUUUGUAGUACGUGGUGGAAAGUGUGCCAUGACCCCGCUAUGUGGCGUGUUAUUGACUUGAAACGUGUCGUUUGUAGAUCCAAAUUGGCCUAUGUGUUGGAGAAGAUAUGCCGUCUUGCUGUGCGUCGUAGCCAAGGCCAGACUUUCAAAAUUAGCAUAGACAAUUUUGGUAAUGAACGCUUGCUCAGCUACAUUGCUUCGAGAUCAAGCCAGCUCAGGCAUCUCCG
This 234-nucleotide unclassified non-coding RNA is filed under the name Hevea brasiliensis (rubber tree). The record is from RNAcentral. Lineage: Eukaryota; Viridiplantae; Streptophyta; Magnoliopsida; Malpighiales; Euphorbiaceae.